RNAcentral lists this small RNA (72 nucleotides) under Bacillus sp. CECT 9360. RNAcentral's name for it is "Bacillaceae-1". It matches the Rfam family "Bacillaceae-1 RNA". The record is from RNAcentral. Lineage: Bacteria; Bacillati; Bacillota; Bacilli; Caryophanales; Bacillaceae.
GUAAGAGGAACAUCGACUAAGACCUGCCACAUCGUGUGGCAGGUCUUAGUCGAUGCCAGCCCAUCCUGGGCA